This 368-nucleotide ribosomal RNA is filed under the name uncultured bacterium. RNAcentral describes it as "bacterial SSU rRNA". It matches the Rfam family "Bacterial small subunit ribosomal RNA", at positions 29 to 408 of the family's 1533-position model. The record is from RNAcentral.
AACGAACGCUGGCGGCAGGCCUAACACAUGCAAGUCGAACGCCGUAGCAAUACGGAGUGGCAGACGGGUGAGUAACGCGUGGGAACAUACCCCCCGGUUCGGAAUAACUCAGGGAAACUUGAGCUAAUACCGGAUACGUCCAAGUUUUUAAUCGACCUUGGAGAAAGAUUUAUCGCCGGAGGAUUGGCCCGCGUCUGAUUAGCUUGUUGGUGAGGUAAUGGCUCACCAAGGCGACGAUCAGAGCUGGUCUGAGAGGAUGAUCAGCCACAUUGGGACUGAGACACGGCCCAAACUCCUACGGGAGGCAGCAGGUGGGGAAUAUUGGACAAUGGGGACGAAAGCCUGAUCCAGCCAUGCCGCGUGAGUGA